RNAcentral lists this small RNA (270 nucleotides) under Vigna angularis var. angularis. RNAcentral's name for it is "Non-protein coding transcript". Lineage: Eukaryota; Viridiplantae; Streptophyta; Magnoliopsida; Fabales; Fabaceae. The record is from RNAcentral.
UCUCUACUCACUCAACAGAGAGAUCUCCGGAGAAACCAAUUUCCUCCAUUAAGCACAUCACAGAAACCCACCAUUCUCCCAACCUUCAUCCUCAUUCACUCAUUUGCCUAGCCACUGCCCACUCCAACCCUUGUCUUACUCGCAAGCCACCAUCAACCAGGAUUCAAGAAAAAAAACUUGAACGCAAAGAUAGAAGAUCUUGCUCUAUCACGGAGAAAGGUGCAACCAGGAAACAGAGAGAAGGAAAGGAAAAGUGCAGGAAACAGAGAG